GAUGAACGCUAGCUACAGGCUUAACACAUGCAAGUCGAGGGGCAGCAUAGUCUUAGCUUGCUAAGGCCGAUGGCGACCGGCGCACGGGUGAGUAACACGUAUCCAACCUGCCGUCUACUCUUGGACAGCCUUCUGAAAGGAAGAUUAAUACAAGAUGGCAUCAUGAGUCCACAUGUUCACAUGAUUAAAGGUAUUCCGGUAGACGAUGGGGAUGCGUUCCAUUAGAUAGUAGGCGGGGUAACGGCCCACCUAGUCUUCGAUGGAUAGGGGUUCUGAGAGGAAGGUCCCCCACAUUGGAACUGAGACACGGUCCAAACUCCUACGGGAGGCAGCAGUGAGGAAUAUUGGUCAAUGGGCGAAAGCCUGAACCAGCCAAGUAGCGUGAAGGAUGACUGCCCUAUGGGUUGUAAACUUCUUUUAUAAAGGAAUAAAGUCGGGUAUGGAUACCCGUUUGCAUGUACUUUAUGAAUAAGGAUCGGCUAACUCCGUGCCAGCAGCCGCGGUAAUACGGAGGAUCCGAGCGUUAUCCGGAUUUAUUGGGUUUAAAGGGAGCGUAGAUGGAUGUUUAAGUCAGUUGUGAAAGUUUGCGGCUCAACCGUAAAAUUGCAGUUGAUACUGGAUAUCUUGAGUGCAGUUGAGGCAGGCGGAAUUCGUGGUGUAGCGGUGAAAUGCUUAGAUAUCACGAAGAACUCCGAUUGCGAAGGCAGCCUGCUAAGCUGCAACUGACAUUGAGGCUCGAAAGUGUGGGUAUCAAACAGGAUUAGAUACCCUGGUAGUCCACACGGUAAACGAUGAAUACUCGCUGUUUGCGAUAUACAGCAAGCGGCCAAGCGAAAGCGUUAAGUAUUCCACCUGGGGAGUACGCCGGCAACGGUGAAACUCAAAGGAAUUGACGGGGGCCCGCACAAGCGGAGGAACAUGUGGUUUAAUUCGAUGAUACGCGAGGAACCUUACCCGGGCUUAAAUUGCAGAUGAAUUACGGUGAAAGCCGUAAGCCGCAAGGCAUCUGUGAAGGUGCUGCAUGGUUGUCGUCAGCUCGUGCCGUGAGGUGUCGGCUUAAGUGCCAUAACGAGCGCAACCCUUGUUGUCAGUUACUAACAGGUUCCGCUGAGGACUCUGACAAGACUGCCAUCGUAAGAUGUGAGGAAGGUGGGGAUGACGUCAAAUCAGCACGGCCCUUACGUCCGGGGCUACACACGUGUUACAAUGGGGGGUACAGAGGGCCGCUACCACGCGAGUGGAUGCCAAUCCCAAAAACCUCUCUCAGUUCGGACUGGAGUCUGCAACCCGACUCCACGAAGCUGGAUUCGCUAGUAAUCGCGCAUCAGCCACGGCGCGGUGAAUACGUUCCCGGGCCU
This 1358-nucleotide ribosomal RNA is filed under the name uncultured bacterium. Its description in RNAcentral is "bacterial SSU rRNA". It matches the Rfam family "Bacterial small subunit ribosomal RNA", at positions 28 to 1381 of the family's 1533-position model. The record is from RNAcentral.